Molecule: ribosomal RNA, 250 nt
Filed under: uncultured bacterium
Lineage: Bacteria
Description: partial 16S ribosomal RNA
Rfam family: Bacterial small subunit ribosomal RNA
Source: RNAcentral
UACGUAGGUGGCAAGCGUUGUCCGGAAUUAUUGGGCGUAAAGCGCGCGCAGGCGGCCUUUUAAGUCUGAUGUGAAAGCCCCCGGCUCAACCGGGGAGGGUCAUUGGAAACUGGAAGGCUUGAGUACAGAAGAGAAGAGUGGAAUUCCAUGUGUAGCGGUGAAAUGCGUAGAGAUGUGGAGGAACACCAGUGGCGAAGGCGACUCUUUGGUCUGUAACUGACGCUGAGGCGCGAAAGCGUGGGGAGCAAAC